CCAGCCUUGCUUGUCUUGUCUUGUCUCCCUGUACUUUUGGAUUUCUGUUAACCAGCCACUCUGUCAGUGCUCAGACGCUGAUUGGAAUAGAGAGGAGAAAUCGUGUGACGUGCCUGCAUCAGUGAUAAAGUCUGCAAUGCUGGGGAACAUGUCGCAGUUCACUCGACUGAUGCGGUCAUGCCAGAGUUCAAGUUUUUGUGUGAAGGCGUCCACUCUGUCUGCAAGAAGCAAAAUAUGAGUUUUGCAGCCUUGAAAAGACAGGUUGAGGCCAUUCAAGCGAUCAAAUAUAUUGACCAAAUAGGACAGAGACGCAAGCCACACUGUGUCAUCCAGAUGCUUUGCCAGAUCGGAUUUGAUUUCUUUCAAAAACCACUUCACCUCCUCUCGCAGCUCAUACAACCGCUGUAACACCCGCCCCCUGGAGAGCCAGCGAACUUCAGUGUGCAGAAGCAGCUGUUUGUGCCCUGACCUCUCCUCUCCUGACAUCUCCUGGCAGAGGACCCCAAACAAGCGAGAGUUUGGCGGUCAUGAUUUGAUGAGAUUUAUAAUUUUCACGGAUUGGUUCAGCACGGAGUCAAAGGGAACCGGAAUUUUUUUAGCAGCUAGUGCUUCGCGAUGAACCAUGCAAUGUGUCCAUUUCACAAGUGGAGCUACUUGCUGAAUGCGAGCAGCUAGGCCACGCUCACUGGCCAUCAUUGCUCGCGCAACAUCCGUGCAUAGCCCAACGCAUCAGUCCCAAGCCAAACCAUUUUCCCAGAUAAAAAUAUCAAGGGCAUUGAAGAUGGCUUCUCCUGUAGUGUGCGACUGAAGAGGCCGGCAAAACAGGACAUCCUCCUCAAUUGCCCUGUCCUGCAGAUACCUGAAAUAGGUGAGGAGCUGUGCCUGCCCAGCAACAUCAGUGGAUUCGUCCAGCUGCAGCGUGUAGUAAGGACUCGUUUUAAUGAACUGUAUCAGUUGCUCUCUGAUAUCAUUAGAAAUGUCUGAAAUUCUCCUAGCGACUGUGUCAUUGGACAGUGGUACUGCACCGAGUUUGGCUGCUGCACAAUCUGCUAUCGUUAUUCUGCAUGUCUUGCGCGGCCGGCAAAAUGAGAGUUUUGGCAAUUGUAUGUGGUUUACCUAUUCUUUUGGCCACAACAUACGAUGCCUCCAAACACUGUUUAGACAGUGCUGUGCACUGAAAUGGUUGCCUGUUGCUGAUUGAGGCCAUCAAGCUUUCUUUUAAAAUAUUCAGCCGGUUUAUCCUUAAUGCCAGCAUGCUUUGUUUCGAGGUGCCUUUUAAGUUUGCAGGGCUUCAUGCUGUCGUUUGCCAGCACCUCAGCACACACAACACACUGAGGUCUCAGAUCAGCCGUAACUGUAAACCCAAACUGCAGGUAUGCUUCAUCGUACCUUCGAAGCUUUUUUGCAGCUGGUGGUGCGUCGGUUGCCCUGUUGGUCCUCACUAGAAAUCUCUCCAUUUUUGUUUGGUUUUGAAAUAAUUUGGAUGUGGAUUAAUUGUGUUUUCAAUAAAGUUUAGGCUAUGAUGUAA
This is a long non-coding RNA of Micropterus salmoides (largemouth bass), 1528 nucleotides long. RefSeq lists it as uncharacterized. The transcript is spliced from 2 exons. The record is from RefSeq and is a predicted model, not a curated record. Lineage: Eukaryota; Metazoa; Chordata; Actinopteri; Centrarchiformes; Centrarchidae.